AUGAGUUGGGGUCAGCUGAGCGCUGUCAGCAUAGAGCCUCACAAAUCCUCAGGAGAACCCCUGGAAGAAGUCACUUCAUCUCCAUUUUACAGGUGUAGGAAAAGAAGUCUGGAAAGAUCAUCCAAAAUGCCCAACUUGUUGAAUGGGGUUCAGACCUGUCCUAGGCAGGAGACCUCUGGGCCCGGGAGGACAUCAUCAUCUGACCUUCAUUUGGUGACCUGUGGAGUGUGCGGGACACCCUCAGAGCCAGCUCUCAGGCACUGUGGAGCUGGAGCUCCUAGUGGCUGCAAAUCUCAGCCCCAAAGGGGCCCAGGCCAGGAGUAGGCAGGGGA
RNAcentral lists this long non-coding RNA (332 nucleotides) under Fukomys damarensis (Damara mole-rat). Its description in RNAcentral is "lncRNA (ENSFDAG00000027671.1)". The record is from RNAcentral. Lineage: Eukaryota; Metazoa; Chordata; Mammalia; Rodentia; Bathyergidae.